AGGGAUCGCGGCGACUGCGAUCCCGGACGACGGUUCAGUACCCGGAGCGCGACAAGACUGGCCAAG
RNAcentral lists this non-coding RNA (66 nucleotides) under Leifsonia sp. Leaf336. Lineage: Bacteria; Bacillati; Actinomycetota; Actinomycetes; Micrococcales; Microbacteriaceae. RNAcentral also lists the same sequence under 1 other name. The record is from RNAcentral.